AGCAGCAGCAGCGUCAACCCUUAAAUAACCAAACCAAAGCCAACAGUUGUCGUCCAUACACCAAGUAUGACACACCCUCAGCUCUGACUUAAAUGGCAACGUUACAAAACGAUGUGUUAUGAAAGCUGCAACUUAGCAUUCUGGAUGGCCCAGGGUGCCGGAACGCCACGGUUCUCUACCAGGAAGUGUUUUGAGAGCGCCUGUCCAGUAGCCCCACAAGGCACAUCACCUCCCUGUACUCCGCAGACAAUCCCUGGUCCCUGAGCACAUUGUCGUUUCCCCUCAGGCCCAUUAUCAGAUCCCCUCUGCAGGCUCCCAGCAGCUGCAGUUAUUGUGGAAGACUCUACUUUUAUAGCCUCAUGAUGUCUGUGACAACACCAGCUUUUAUGAGACGUCACUGGCGGUGAACCACUGAAGAGUCAAGUGAAGAAGCUGCUUUUCCGUGAGACUUCACACAGACACUUCAUUCGAUAGCCUUGAACCGAGGGCCCUCCACUCCUGCAGAGGAGCCCACCCAGCAGUUCUGUCUCACCAUGUCAACCUGUUUGCUGAAAGAAGGAAAAUGAGCUCUCCGAGUGAAGCCUGUGUGUAUCAGUGUGAAUGACGGAGAAAGAUUUGUCUUCCCGUUCUUGCUUUUCCUGUAAACCUCAGUUUUGUAGUGUUAAACAAUCAGAUAAAAACAGAUAGAAUAUAUAUCUGGAAACAAUGUAUCUCACAGAGGUAAGUGGUACAUGCGUACUUUGAUUUUUAGUGUGUGUGUCUGUGUUGAACUUUGGUCCUUUGUUCUUUUCCGUUGUGUUCUUGAUCAUUGAAACGAGAGGGUCCCACUUGGCAGUCUUUGCUCAAAGAUGAGCUGCCUCGAGUUAAUGCAGGCCUCUGCUGCCCCUUAGGGGUGGAAGAUAGAAAGGAGACGUCGCCUCAGCACUGGGAGAAGACUACAACUGAAAUAUUCAUUAGUUUUCAUUUCGUUACUCUGGUUUUAUGAUGUUUUAUGGAAUUAUUUUCACUGUGAGUAAAAUUUGGAGCUUACAGGCAGGUGUUUGGUGUGUGCAUGGCAGGUCUAAUCCCAUUAGUGCUGCUGAUCCUCGGCCUCGGGAUCUUUUGUCUCUCUAUCAAACCUGCUUUAAGCUGUGACUGUUGAAUUCCAAUCUGUUUGCUUGGCAGCAGCAAUAAAACAAUCCUGUUUACAGGUUGUACAUAAAAGGAUCAAAAUCUACACCACAUGCUUGUUACACAAAUGUAUUCACAGUUGAAUUUCUAUUUUAGUUAACACAAAGUCAAGCAACUUUUCAUGCAAGUGCCCUCAGGAAACCUACUACAAAGGUUAAUAUUCAGGUUUCUUUUUAUAGUUGGAUUUUAUGCAGCUAAUUUUGCUCUGUGUGCAUCGAUAUGAAAAUUAAUAUUUACCCCUUUGUUUUUUCUUAUAAAUAAAUGAUUACAGUAAUUUAAAUUGUCAUACUUUCGGAGAAAUUAAAUGUCAGUAGUAUUGUUGUUGUACUGUAUGUCUGUUAUUAUUUAAAUAAAUAAGGAAUGUAAUGAACAAAAUAAUACAAUUUCAGCUACUAAUGAAACAGUCUC
Molecule: long non-coding RNA, 1578 nt
Organism: Acanthochromis polyacanthus (spiny chromis)
Lineage: Eukaryota; Metazoa; Chordata; Actinopteri; Pomacentridae
Exons: 5
Source: RefSeq, a predicted model, not a curated record